GCCGGAUUCUCUGGCUUAGUUCCUAGUGGGACUAUCAAGUCUAGCAGCCUGAGUAAUGGAUCUGUUCUUGGAGUACACUCUAUGUUACGAGCUCCAUCUCUGGAGACUGUGUUGCACCAUGGGAUAUCUUCUAGCGUUCCUAGUAGCUUACCUUCUGUAAUGAGAUCUGAAUCAACUGGCAACCAAUCUGGCUUCAUUGACUCUGGUCAUUCACCUUCACAACUGAAGCUGGGUAUCCGGGCAUCUCCAGCUGUUCAUCCUCAUUCACU
This 269-nucleotide unclassified non-coding RNA is filed under the name Hevea brasiliensis (rubber tree). The record is from RNAcentral. Lineage: Eukaryota; Viridiplantae; Streptophyta; Magnoliopsida; Malpighiales; Euphorbiaceae.